UACGGGGGAUGCGAGCGUUAUCCGGAUUUAUUGGGUUUAAAGGGCGCGUAGGCGGGACGCCAAGUCAGCGGUAAAAGACUGCAGCUAAACUGUAGCACGCCGUUGAAACUGGCGACCUUGAGACGAGACGAGGGAGGCGGAACAAGUGAAGUAGCGGUGAAAUGCUUAGAUAUCACUUGGAACCCCGAUAGUGAAGGCAGCUUCCCAGGCUCGAUCUGACGCUGAUGCGCGAGAGCGUGGGUAGCGAACAGG
RNAcentral lists this ribosomal RNA (252 nucleotides) under uncultured bacterium. RNAcentral describes it as "partial 16S ribosomal RNA". It matches the Rfam family "Bacterial small subunit ribosomal RNA", at positions 524 to 776 of the family's 1533-position model. The record is from RNAcentral.